GGGGGCCCAGCAAUGGGCAACCGGCGAACGGGUGCGUAACACGUGAGCAACCUACCGAACUGUGGGGGAUAGCCGGCCUAACGGCCGAGUAAUACCGCAUACGCUCUCAGUGAGGCAUUUCAUUGAGAGGAAACCUACGGGACAGAUCGAGGGGCUCGCGGCCUAUCAGCUAGUUGGCGAGGUAACGGCUCACCAAGGCAACGACGGGUAGCUGGUCUGAGAGGAUGGCCAGCCACAUUGGGACUGAGAUACGGCCCAGACUCCUACGGGAGGCAGCAGUGGGGAAUCUUGCGCAAUGGCCUAACGGCUGACGCAGCGACGCCGCGUGUGGGAUGAAGCUCUUCGGA
Molecule: ribosomal RNA, 347 nt
Filed under: uncultured bacterium
Lineage: Bacteria
Description: bacterial SSU rRNA
Rfam family: Bacterial small subunit ribosomal RNA
Source: RNAcentral